This 349-nucleotide ribosomal RNA is filed under the name uncultured bacterium. RNAcentral's name for it is "bacterial SSU rRNA". It matches the Rfam family "Bacterial small subunit ribosomal RNA", at positions 917 to 1269 of the family's 1533-position model. The record is from RNAcentral.
GGGCCCGCACAAGCGGUGGAGCAUGUGGUUUAAUUCGAUGAUACGCGAGGAACCUUACCAGGGUUUAAAUGCAGAACGACAGGGGUGGAAACACCCCCUUCUUCGGACGGACUGCAAGGUGCUGCAUGGUUGUCGUCAGCUCGUGCUGUGAAGUGUCGGGUUAAGUCCCAUAACGAGCGCAACCCCCAUUUCUAGUUGCCAGCGGUUCGGCCGGGGACUCUAGAGAAACUGCCAGCGUAAGCUGUGAGGAAGGUGGGGAUGACGUCAAAUCAUCACGGCCCUUACAUCCUGGGCCACACACGUGCUACAAUGGUGGGGACAACAGGUUGCCAACCCGCGAGGGUGAGCC